This 214-nucleotide long non-coding RNA is filed under the name Lathyrus oleraceus (garden pea). RNAcentral's name for it is "Pisum sativum (pea) long non-coding RNA (PSAT_LNC011823)". The record is from RNAcentral. Lineage: Eukaryota; Viridiplantae; Streptophyta; Magnoliopsida; Fabales; Fabaceae.
GGAAGAAUAUCCGUCAUCGGUUAGGAUGAACAUAUCAAGGAUAGACUUCCGGGGAGAAAAUAGGAAUUAUAUCUAUCAAUUACUAGAUAGAAUAACAAAGUGAGAAUACCCGUCAUCGGUCAAAGUGAACAUAUCAAGGAUAGAUUAUGCAGGGGAAAGCAGGAUUUACGACUACCGGUUACUGGGCAGAAGACCGCAAAGAGGAGAAAAUUUG